AGAGUUUGAUCAUGGCUCAGAUUGAACGCUGGCGGCAGGCUUAACACAUGCAAGUCGAGCGGGGGAAGGUAGCUUGCUACUGGACCUAGCGGCGGACGGGUGAGUAAUGCUUAGGAAUCUGCCUAUUAGUGGGGGACAACAUUCCGAAAGGAAUGCUAAUACCGCAUACGUCCUACGGGAGAAAGCAGGGGACCUUCGGGCCUUGCGCUAAUAGAUGAGCCUAAGUCGGAUUAGCUAGUUGGUGGGGUAAAGGCCUACCAAGGCGACGAUCUGUAGCGGGUCUGAGAGGAUGAUCCGCCACACUGGGACUGAGACACGGCCCAGACUCCUACGGGAGGCAGCAGUGGGGAAUAUUGGACAAUGGGGGGAACCCUGAUCCAGCCAUGGCCGCGUGUGUGAAGAAGGCCUUAUGGUUGUAAAGCACUUUAAGCGAGGAGGAGGCUACUAGUAUUAAUACUACUGGAUAGUGGACGUUACUCGCAGAAUAAGCACCGGCUAACUCUGUGCCAGCAGCCGCGGUAAUACAGAGGGUGCGAGCGUUAAUCGGAUUUACUGGGCGUAAAGCGUGCGUAGGCGGCCAUUUAAGUCAAAUGUGAAAUCCCCGAGCUUAACUUGGGAAUUGCAUUCGAUACUGGAUGGCUAGAGUAUGGGAGAGGAUGGUAGAAUUCCAGGUGUAGCGGUGAAAUGCGUAGAGAUCUGGAGGAAUACCGAUGGCGAAGGCAGCCAUCUGGCCUAAUACUGACGCUGAGGUACGAAAGC
This 759-nucleotide ribosomal RNA is filed under the name uncultured bacterium. RNAcentral's name for it is "bacterial SSU rRNA". It matches the Rfam family "Bacterial small subunit ribosomal RNA", at positions 8 to 760 of the family's 1533-position model. The record is from RNAcentral.